CUUAAUUAUAAAAUAAUCUACAGGGAGUCGCAAAAGUCUCCAUACAUAGAGGACCAUGUUUGCAAGGACUACGUAGGUUGUGCCUUCGGAUGUCCGUGGACGUCCACGAAUUUUUGAAAUUGUUAAUAAGUUUGGAAACAGCGUGUAAUCGUGUGCGACGUGCUCGGUGUGUUUCCUGUUAAAGUCCAUCGCAACCUUGCGACAGCUUCCCGAUCCGGCCAUGAGAAUGAUUUCAAUACGUUCUCCUGUUGUCAACGGCUGAAUAUAUGUCUGGAGACUUUUGGGACAGCUUGUAUAAUGCAAACAGCAGUGUGGGCAGCGCACCAAGCGUUCGCAGGACGUUUCUUUCAAUAAAUGUGAACGGCAUUGUGUUUUAUUUUCCCGAGGUCGUUCAGUGAUGGCGGAGUGAUCUCCUCAGGGUCACGGGGAACCUGGAGCCUAUCCCAGGGAGCAUGGUGCACAAGGCGGGGUACACCCUGGACAGGGUGCCAAUCCAUCGCAGGGCACAAUCACAUACACACUCACACACCCAUUCAUACACUACGGACACUUUGGACACGCCAAUCAGCCUACCAUGCAUGUCUUUGGACUGGGGGAGGAAACCGGAGUACCCGGAGGAAACCCUCGCAGCACGGGGAGAACAUGCAAACUCCGCACACACAGGGCCACGGUGGGAAUCGAACCCCCGACCCUGGAGGUGUGAGGAGAACGUGCUAACCAUUAAGUGGAGGCAAUGUAUAUAAGCUAAAGAUGAUCAGUUAAACCCAAUUUCCUCAAUACUAUGCAAAUUAAGUGUCCAGACAAUUGGCAUGAAUGGAUUCGGGGAGUAAUCCUGUGAUGUUUGUGAGUGUGUGUGUGUGUGUGUGUGUGUGUGUGUGGUCCAGUGUUUCUUCAGUUCACAGCUUUAGCUCCUACCUGCAAUUACUUUCCAUUUACUUGAUGCACAAACAGAAAAAUAAAGCUUGGAAGGAAGUAGCAAAGAUCGUUGGUGCCUCUGGUGAGAGUACGUAGCAAGUACAGUUAACUUGCUUUGCUAACCUUCCAACAACGCCAGUACGAAGCCAAGCAUGCAACAUGAAAAUCAAACUUAAAUACAUUUUAAACAAAAGUGAUAUGUAUAAAUCAUCUAGUGGGCUGUAUUAGGCAUAUAUUGGAUACUACUGGGUUUUUUUUUCUUCUUAAAACUAAAAGACAAAUGCUGGACAGUCACAUGAGCAGCUUGUCAUUUGCUAGUGUAAAUGUUGAGUUAUUCACACACACACACACACACACACACAUACACACUCAAUACAUGACCGCUGUUCUUCCUCUAAUGGUUUCACUCUUAUUACUGCUGACUUGGACACAGCGUUCUGUAAAGGGAAAAGAAACAGCA
Molecule: long non-coding RNA, 1375 nt
Organism: Ictalurus punctatus (channel catfish)
Lineage: Eukaryota; Metazoa; Chordata; Actinopteri; Siluriformes; Ictaluridae
Source: Ensembl